Molecule: non-coding RNA, 725 nt
Organism: Pelodiscus sinensis (Chinese soft-shelled turtle)
Lineage: Eukaryota; Metazoa; Chordata; Testudines; Trionychidae
Source: RefSeq, a predicted model, not a curated record
GUACCAGAACACCUCAAUGCCAGCACAUUCCUCACAGAUAUACACUGACCCAUCCUAAAGAUGAGGUCAGGAUAACAGUAUGAUGAAUAGAGGCGUUUUGAUUUAACCUACAUGAACAAGUUUGCUUGAGAUCUGCUGUGCCAGCUACAUGUGCAGAACUGGCACUGACUGCAGGGAGAACAUGCACACACAGCCAAACAGCCAUCAACAUCUGACAGAAAAACCACACUGAGAACUGGACUGAGACCAUCAGCCAGCAGAUGGCAGUCAUUUUUGGUCACUGCUGACAUGGACUGAAUUCAAACAGGUCUUUUGAGAACACCUGUCAAUGGAAGAGAUGCUGUGAGAGGAUAAAUGUUGAGGCAUUGGUGUAGCAGAAGGCUUCACGCUUACAAAUAGGUGACCAAGUGUUUUACUUUAAAGCACAUGAACCCUCCCAUUAGACAGCUCACAUCAAGGUGAAGCACCUGCUGGAAUGCCGGCAGGCUCAGGGCCGAAAUGUUGCUCUUUUGGAUAAUCCCUUAUGCCAGAAAACCGUAACAGGUAUCAGUUUGCUUAUGGACGCAGACUGCUGUUACUGCUGCUCAUUUGUUACCACAACAGAGGAAAUUAUGACAAACCAUUAAAUAAACUUAAAGGGAGGCUCAAUUUCUUCAUAUAGGUUACUGUUGAUUUAUAUGCUCCAUCGGUUUAAACAGCCUGUUCAAAUUUUGAAAUAAAAUGUU